RNAcentral lists this ribosomal RNA (253 nucleotides) under uncultured bacterium. Its description in RNAcentral is "partial 16S ribosomal RNA". It matches the Rfam family "Bacterial small subunit ribosomal RNA", at positions 524 to 776 of the family's 1533-position model. The record is from RNAcentral.
UACGUAGGGUGCGAGCGUUAAUCGGAAUUAUUGGGCGUAAAGCGCGCGCAGGCGGUUUCUUAAGUCUGAUGUGAAAGCCCACGGCUCAACCGUGGAGGGUCAUUGGAAACUGGGGAACUUGAGUGCAGAAGAGAAAAGCGGAAUUCCACGUGUAGCGGUGAAAUGCGUAGAGAUGUGGAGGAACACCAGUGGCGAAGGCGGCUUUUUGGUCUGUAACUGACGCUGAGGCGCGAAAGCGUGGGGAGCAAACAGG